RNAcentral lists this ribosomal RNA (324 nucleotides) under uncultured eukaryote. RNAcentral describes it as "partial 18S ribosomal RNA". It matches the Rfam family "Eukaryotic small subunit ribosomal RNA", at positions 1470 to 1796 of the family's 1831-position model. The record is from RNAcentral.
CCCUUAGAUGUCCUGGGCUGCAUGCGCGCUACACUGAUGUGUCCAGUAAGCACCUAACCUCUUCCGAAAGGAACGGGUAACCUUUGCAAAGCACAUCGUGAUGGGGAUAGAUUAUUGCAAUUAUUAGUCUUGAACGAGGAAUUCCUAGUAAGCACAAGUCAUCAGCUUGUGUUGAUUACGUCCCUGCCCUUUGUACACACCGCCCGUCGCUCCUACCGAUUGAAUGUUCCGGUGAGCUCUUCGGACUGCGCGGUCUGCAGUUUCUGCGUUCCGUGCGGAAAGUUGCGCAAACCUUAACAUUUAGAGGAAGGAGAAGUCGUAACA